Molecule: unclassified non-coding RNA, 719 nt
Filed under: Hevea brasiliensis (rubber tree)
Lineage: Eukaryota; Viridiplantae; Streptophyta; Magnoliopsida; Malpighiales; Euphorbiaceae
Source: RNAcentral
GAGACUUGAUGCUGACAAUUAUGAGACUGAUGAGGAGUUGAAGAAAAUUCGGGAAGAUCGUGGAUAUUCAUACAUUGAUUUCUGUGAGGUUUGCCCUGAGAAACUACCGAAUUACGAGGAGAAAAUCAAGAACUUUUUUGAAGAACACCUGCACACCGACGAGGAGAUCCGUUACGCUGUUGCAGGAAGUGGUUACUUUGAUGUCCGCGAUGUGAAUGAGAGCUGGAUUCGCGUCUGGGUAAAGAAAGGUGGAAUGAUUGUUCUUCCUGCUGGAAUCUAUCACCGCUUCACGCUUGAUUCAAGCAACUACAUUAAGGCAAUGCGUCUCUUUGUUGGUGACCCAAUUUGGACUCCAUACAAUCGUCCACAUGAUCAUCUCCCCGCAAGGCAAGAAUAUGUUGAGACGUUUGUCAACGCAGAUGGCGCUGGUCGUGCUGUUAAUGCUGCUGCUUAAAUCAACUAUAGGAGAGGAAUUUGAAAUCGUACUAGAUUGUAAUAAAUAUUACCAUAUGGUGGCUUUGCUGUUCUUGAUGUGUGCCUUACUAAGCAUGUUUAAUGUUGUAUUGUGGCACUAAAUAAAUCACCCCCUAUGGGAGAUUGAUUGUUUAUAUGCAAGUGGAAUUUGUUAUGUGAUUUUAGGUGCUUUGUUCUUGUCAAGUAAUCCAAUAUUUCCUAUUUCUGCUUGUAAUUUAGUUGCAAUUUCUUUUUUUUGUUGGUUG